This 538-nucleotide long non-coding RNA is filed under the name Struthio camelus australis. RNAcentral's name for it is "lncRNA (ENSSCUG00000014939.1)". The record is from RNAcentral. Lineage: Eukaryota; Metazoa; Chordata; Aves; Struthioniformes; Struthionidae.
GGGAAGGUGCCAGCGCGGGGGUUUGCACGGCGGGGGGGCGGUGCUCUCUAGGGGCCAGUUUCUCUCGGGCGUCUCCGUGAAGCCUCCGUGAAGAGGCAAACACGAGGGGCUACGUUUACGGGAAGCUUGAAGUCAUAAGGGUGUUCUAGUGGUGAGAGAGUUUGUUUUCUCUAGAAACGCGUUGAAAAAAAAAUCAGCUUACUUUAUGUAAUUCAUCCGAGUAACACUUCCUGCCUCUCCGCCCCGGAGUUGUUCGCCGAAAAGUAGUAUGUAAACAAGAAGUGGACUCUUUUUUUUCCACCCCUGUGUGCCUUGAGCUAGUUUUGCGAGAUGAACACUGUAAACGAAGAAGUUAAGCCAGCAGAUGCUAAACCGGAAUCUGAAAAAUUAUUUCAUUAUUGUGAAUGAGGAGAUGUUUAGAAAGCUAAGAAUCCAGACAGUGGAGGGGGGAGUGAAGGAGAGACUCUUAAAAGGUUCAUACCACUUCUUAUUUUUAAAGAUGUAUUCAAGUAUUGUUUACAGCAUGGACUUGGAGUAG